GUUUUUCUGAGGGCCUCAUGUCAGUAGCAGAACAGCUUUUGUUCUGAUGGUGUAGAAUGAAGGAGAGUUUUGUGUCACCCUCUCAGCAGAGGCUGGACUGCGGAUGGGAUAGGUGUCUUAUCUCCCGUGAGUUAGCAUCAGAUGAAGCUUGCUGACAGCAUAAUGGCAGGGAAAACCUCCGACGGCUCCAUCAAAUGGCAGCUCUGCUACGACAUCUCGGCCAGAACUUGGUGGAUGUAGAGCAGCCUCACACUUGUCCCACUUGUGUGCUUUCCCCUGUGUAACAGGAGACCGUUAAUGUGCACUACAGUUUCCAGAGGGAAGCUUUUUCAAUUCUCCUUAAGGGGGAAAAGAGGGAAAAAAAAAAAAAAACCUAUGCAAAGAAGUAGUUUUGCAACGCCUUGUGCAGAGAAACUUGUCUCAGUCGGCUGCUUAACGCUCAGUUUGUUUUACUUUAUCUGCUGCUUUCAAGCAUUCGUGUGCGUGUGCGUUUUUUCCCAUGCGGUAUUUUGUAAAGAGGGGAGGUGGAAAGUUCAGUCCGUUACAAAGCAAGUUGCUUUCCUGUCAAAGCCUGGACCGGUGCGGGAGUGUCGUGGUGUAAAAUCAUCACGUGUGAGAGGAGCGUGUUUUGCGAGGUGCUGCCUUUCCUCGGAGACCCUGAGCUAACUUUUUCCCUCCGCCUGUUUACGUUAGAACAGGUUACCGGGCUGUGCUGACCUGGAGCCAUGUGUUACAGAUCCCGCAGAGUCUGGCUCUAGCUGCUUUUGGGCGCAAUUAAAGUUUCCCUAAAAGUCCCAACGUGCUCCGUAGAACGAGUUAACUAGCAUGUCAUGGUCAGCCGGGCCAGACAACCUUUGACAUCUUGAAUCUAUAAGAGGUAUAGUGAGUUAGGAGGAUGCACAAUAGCCCAUUGUGGCAGAAGAUGCAAGUCCUGUUGUGAGGAAGAGAGUCCUCAAAUCAUUACUGCCCUCGUUAGCGUGUUGUCCGUUAGGGAUUAAUUCGUUAGCAGCGCAUUUUUAGUUUUCUGUAAUUAUUAUUCUUGUGGCAAGCGUGAAUUCUUCCAGUGAGAGGAAAAGUUUGCUGCCAGGACAAUGAAUGUAUUAUCCGCUCCUAACUGGACCGUGAACCUCAGCUCGUUUCACAUAGAUAUCAGUUAAAAAAGGACUGGCGAGUGGAAUUACAAAACAAGGCAUGAUCACUUUCAUUGUAUGAUACGCUGAAACAAGUCGGGGGCUUUCCCUCCCCUUCGCCGCCCCGGACCAAUUUUGGUAUCAUUUGGAAAGUUUAAGACCUCUGAGGACUUGAAAGACUUUUAAAAGUGAGAUCCGGAAGGUUUUUAUUCUGCAGCUUGGUGGUGGCCAUUGUGUAUAUCAUGUGGCUUGUAUUUAAAGGUGUUUGGGCUCGGGGUUUAUCCAUUUUGUUUUGUCUAAACUCUUAAUUUUUUUUAACCGUCUAUUAGAGGUUUGCCAGCGGUUGCCAGUGAAAUGUAACAUGCAGCUUUUGGUUAAUGGCAAUAGGGAAGUCUAACCACUUUACUUAUAGUACUGAUUUUCCAAUUAGACUUUCUGCCAGGGGAAGUUGGAGGGGGAAGGGGUAUUUGCAUGCACAUAAACUGUUGAUUAUUCAUGUGACUUUUUUUUUUCUAGCUUGUUAAACCCUUGUAAAUAAGGCUAUUGAUUCUUUGUUAUCAUUUUCAAAGCGAAGUUUUCAAGUACCUGUUUUAACCACAAGAUUUAGAGCAUGCUGUGAUUUAUUUUUUGUCUUAUUCUAAGCCAUGUGUGUAUUUUAUUACCACUCCUCUUUUAUUGUCUAUCGGCUGCUUUUAUGAUGAGGUAUGUCCGUAGUUUACUAUUUCAUAAGUAUCCUCAAAUGUUACUUAGCAGUUAUUUACACCCUGUAGAAAGUGUCCGAGGAAGUUUCAUUUCAGUCACAUCUAUUUCACACAUGUUUUAGUACUGUGAAUAUAAUAUGUAAUAAUGCUGGAAACAUUUAGUAAUGCACUUGCCUAAAAAUAAACAGUUUUAUAACCACA
This is a long non-coding RNA of Pezoporus flaviventris, 2032 nucleotides long. RefSeq lists it as uncharacterized. The record is from RefSeq and is a predicted model, not a curated record. The transcript is spliced from 3 exons. Lineage: Eukaryota; Metazoa; Chordata; Aves; Psittaciformes; Psittacidae.